This 442-nucleotide ribosomal RNA is filed under the name uncultured bacterium. RNAcentral's name for it is "partial 16S ribosomal RNA". It matches the Rfam family "Bacterial small subunit ribosomal RNA", at positions 338 to 795 of the family's 1533-position model. The record is from RNAcentral.
CCUACGGGAGGCUGCAGUAGGGAAUCUUUCACAAUGGGCGAAAGCCUGAUGGAGCAACGCCGCGUGCAGGAUGAAGGCCUUCGGGUUGUAAACUGCUUUUAUAAGCGAGAAAUAUGAUGGUAACUUAUGAAUAAGGAUCGGCUAACUACGUGCCAGCAGCCGCGGUCAUACGUAGGAUCCGAGCAUUAUCCGGAGUGACUGGGUGUAAAGAGUUGCGUAGGUGGCAUAAUAAGUAGCUAGUGAAAUCUGGUGGGUCAACCAUUCAGACUAUUAGCUAAACUGUUAAGCUCGAGACCGUUAGGGGUAACUGGAAUUUCUAGUGUAGGAGUGAAAUCCGUAGAUAUUAGAAGGAACACCAAUAGCGUAGGCAGGUUACUGGGACGGUUCUGACACUAAGGCACGAAAGCGUAGGGAGCAAACGGGAUUAGAUACCCCUGUAGUC